This 87-nucleotide transfer RNA is filed under the name Chryseobacterium suipulveris. Its description in RNAcentral is "Chryseobacterium sp. SC2-2 tRNA-Ser". It matches the Rfam family "tRNA". Rfam says of the family: Transfer RNA (tRNA) molecules are approximately 80 nucleotides in length. Their secondary structure includes four short double-helical elements and three loops (D, anti-codon, and T loops). Lineage: Bacteria; Pseudomonadati; Bacteroidota; Flavobacteriia; Flavobacteriales; Weeksellaceae. The record is from RNAcentral.
AGAGAGGUGUCCGAGUGGUUGAAGGAGCCAGCCUGGAAAGUUGGUAUAUGGGUAACUGUAUCGAGGGUUCGAAUCCCUUCCUCUCUG